Mus caroli (Ryukyu mouse) is the source of this 411-nucleotide long non-coding RNA. RefSeq lists it as uncharacterized. NCBI's taxonomy places the organism in Eukaryota, Metazoa, Chordata, Mammalia, Rodentia, Muridae. The record is from RefSeq and is a predicted model, not a curated record.
UUAUGAUGGACUGUGAUGGGGAUGUGUAAGCCAAUAAACCUUUUGUUCGCCAAGUUGGUUUUCAUCAUGGCUAUUGUCACAGUAGCAGAAAGCACACUAAGAGGACAUCUCUGCUAAGCCAAGGCCUCAGACACUGUCUGAAGAGACUCGGACUUUUAGCUGUCGGUAGUGGUCUGCUUAGUUAACACAGUCCAAAGGUUUUUCCUCUUCAUUACAAGAUAACCCAGAGAUCCCUUUGUGAAUAACACAUCAAAAAGCCAGCCUGUUCCUGUUCUACACCUGGACCAUGACUCAUUCAAAUGCUGGAGACUCUAGGCCUCUGGUGUCCUCUAAAUAAAUGAGACCAGCAAAGAAUCCCAGAGAAGCAAAAGUAAAUUCUUUAAGAUAUAAUUUCUCUGCAUAACCCUGGCU